This 465-nucleotide ribosomal RNA is filed under the name uncultured bacterium. RNAcentral's name for it is "partial 16S ribosomal RNA". It matches the Rfam family "Bacterial small subunit ribosomal RNA", at positions 339 to 795 of the family's 1533-position model. The record is from RNAcentral.
CUACGGGAUGCUGCAGUGGGGAAUAUUGGACAAUGGGGGAAACCCUGAUCCAGCAAUGCCGCGUGUGUGAAGAAGGCCUGCGGGUUGUAAAGCACUUUCGGUUGGGAGGACUGCUUCUAGCACUAAUAUUGUUGGAAGUUGACGUUACCUUCAGAAGAAGCACCGGCUAACUCCGUGCCAGCAGCCGCGGUAAUAGGGAGGGUGCAAGCGUUAAUCGGAAUUACUGGGCGUAAAGCGCGCGUAGGCGGCUAGAUCAGUCGGGUGUGAAAGCCCCGGGCUUAACCUGGGAACUGCAUCCGAUACUGUCUAGCUUGAGUACAGGAGAUGAGAGUGGAAUUCCACAUGUAGCGGUGAAAUGCGUAGAUAUGUGGAGGAACACCAAUGGCGAAGGCAGCUCUCUGGCCUGCUACUGACGCUGAGGUGCGAAAGCGUGGGGAGCAAACAGGAUUAGAUACCCCCGUAGUC